RNAcentral lists this non-coding RNA (48 nucleotides) under Schistosoma mansoni. The record is from RNAcentral. Lineage: Eukaryota; Metazoa; Platyhelminthes; Trematoda; Strigeidida; Schistosomatidae.
AUCCGACUGACGAGUCCCAAAUAGCACGAAACGCUCGUCAAAUCGGGU